CACGUAGUUAGCCGGUGCUUCUUCUGCAGGUACCGUCACAAAAAGCUUCGUCCCUGCUGAAAGCGGUUUACAACCCGAAGGCCGUCAUUCCGCACGCGGCGUUGCUGCAUCAGGCUUGCGCCCAUUGUGCAAUAUUCCCCACUGCUGCCUCCCGUAGGAGUCUGGGCCGUAUCUCAGUCCCAAUGUGGCCGGUCACCCUCUCAGGCCGGCUACCCGUCGCCGCCUUGGUAGGCCACUACCCCACCAACAAGCUGAUAGACCGCGAGUCCAUCCACAACCGCCGGAGCUUUCCAACCCCCACCAUGCAGCAGGAGCACAUAUCCAGUAUUAGCACCAGUUUCCUAGUCGUUACUACCCUAAAGUUGGUGGCUAGGUUACUCACGUGUUACUCUACCGUCGCCACUCGUCGUACCCCGAACGGCCUUACCGUACGAC
Molecule: ribosomal RNA, 435 nt
Filed under: uncultured Propionibacterium sp.
Lineage: Bacteria; Bacillati; Actinomycetota; Actinomycetes; Propionibacteriales; Propionibacteriaceae
Description: partial 16S ribosomal RNA
Source: RNAcentral